GAUGAACGCUAGCGAUAGGCCUAACACAUGCAAGUCGAGGGGCAUCACAUGAAGUAGCAAUACGGAUGGUGGCGACCGGCGCACGGGUGAGUAACACGUAUGCAACCUGCCUUCAACAAGGGGAUAACCCGUUGAAAGACGGACUAAUACCCUAUAACACAGGGGUCCCGCAUGGGAAUAUUUGUUAAAGGACAACCGGUUGAAGAUGGGCAUGCGUUCCAUUAGCUAGUUGGCGGGGUAACGGCCCACCAAGGCAACGAUGGAUAGGGGAACUGAGAGGUUUAUCCCCCACACUGGUACUGAGACACGGACCAGACUCCUACGGGAGGCAGCAGUGAGGAAUAUUGGUCAAUGGACGCAAGUCUGAACCAGCCACGUCGCGUGAAGGAAGACGGCCCUACGGGUUGUAAACUUCUUUUAUACGGGAAUAAAGUGCCCCACGCGUGGGGUUUUGCAUGUACCGUAUGAAUAAGGAUCGGCUAACUCCGUGCCAGCA
This 496-nucleotide ribosomal RNA is filed under the name uncultured bacterium. Its description in RNAcentral is "bacterial SSU rRNA". It matches the Rfam family "Bacterial small subunit ribosomal RNA", at positions 28 to 513 of the family's 1533-position model. The record is from RNAcentral.